Molecule: ribosomal RNA, 1326 nt
Filed under: metagenome
Description: bacterial SSU rRNA
Rfam family: Bacterial small subunit ribosomal RNA
Source: RNAcentral
AGAGUUUGAUCCUGGCUCAGGACGAACGCUGGCGGCGUGCUUAACACAUGCAAGUCGAGCGGGGAUAUUGAUUGGAAGGUUUCGGCCGGAAGGUUGAUAUUCCAGCGGCGGACGGGUGAGUAACGCGUGAGCAAUCUGUCCCAGACAGGGGGAUAACAGAUGGAAACAUCUGCUAAUACCGCAUAAGACCACGAGGUCGCAUGAUCUUGAGGUAAAAGGAGCAAUCCGGUUUGGGGUGAGCUCGCGUCCGAUUAGGUAGUUGGUGAGGUAACGGCCCACCAAGCCCGCGAUCGGUAGCCGACCUGAGAGGGUGAUCGGCCACAUUGGAACUGAGACACGGUCCAAACUCCUACGGGAGGCAGCAGUGGGAAUAUUGGGCAAUGGGCGAAAGCCUGACCCAGCAACGCCGCGUGAGUGAAGAAGGCUUUCGGGUUGUAAAGCUCUGUCCUGGGGGACGAAGGAAGUGACGGUACCCCGGGAGGAAGCCCCGGCUAACUACGUGCCAGCAGCCGCGGUAAUACGUAGGGGGCGAGCGUUGUCCGGAAUGACUGGGCGUAAAGGGCGUGUAGGCGGCCGAUUAAGUAUGGAGUGAAAGUCCUGCUUUCAAGGUGGGAAUUGCUUUGUAGACUGGUUGGCUUGAGUGCGGAAGAGGUAAGUGGAAUUCCCAGUGUAGCGGUGAAAUGCGUAGAGAUUGGGAGGAACACCAGUGGCGAAGGCGACUUACUGGGCCGUAACUGACGCUGAGGCGCGAAAGCGUGGGGAGCGAACAGGAUUAGAUACCCUGGUAGUCCACGCUGUAAACGAUGAAUGCUAGGUGUUGCGGGUAUCGACCCCUGCAGUGCCGGAGUAAACGCAAUAAGCAUUCCGCCUGGGGAGUACGGCCGCAAGGUUGAAACUCAAAGGAAUUGACGGGGGCCCGCACAAGCAGCGGAGCAUGUUGUUUAAUUCGAUGCAACGCGAAGAACCUUACCAUGUCUUGACAUCGAGGUAAGCCUGCAGAAAUGCAGGGUGGAUUCGUCCGACCGAAGACAGGUGGUGCAUGGUUGUCGUCAGCUCGUGUCGUGAGAUGUUGGGUUAAGUCCCGCAACGAGCGCAACCCUUAUGGUCAGUUACUAACGGGUAAAGCCGAGGACUCUGACAAGACUGCCGGGGACAACUCGGAGGAAGGUGGGGACGACGUCAAAUCAUCAUGCCCCUUAUGACAUGGGCUACAAACGUGCUACAAUGGUGGUUACAAAGAGGAGCGAGCAUGUAAAUGUAAGCGGAUCUCAAAAAAGCCAUCUCAGUUCGGAUUGUGGGCUGCAACCCGCCCACAUGAAAUUGGAG